ACUGGGACCGAACCUUUCUAUCUUCUUCUUUCUCUUUUUGUUCCCGCCUGCCGAGGACCUAUGUUUCAAUAACGAUGAAGGGCUACUAGAAGGGAAAGGGCUUCAGGAGAGAUGGUUAGAUUGGAUGGGCGUAGUUGAUCGAUCGAACUACGAUGAUUGGAAUGAAGACAGACAGACUUCCGUGCGAAAGACAGAACGGCAAAACUUUAUUAUUAUAUUAUUGCAUUUUUCCUAAACUUCGUCAAGCCUAUCCGCUCAUUUGUUCCAAACCAGAGUUUCUAGUUUCAAGAUCGCGCUUUUAGUACGCGUGUGGUGAGAUGUUCCAAGCCCGGUAUCUACUGAUUUUGCCAUUCCUAUGAUUCAAAGGAUUCACCAGCUAUAGGGCAGUUAGCGCAGACAUCAAGUAAGGGCUCGUAGGCUACUCAUGCCAAAUAUCCGAUUUUUUUCAGGGGGAAGAGAAGGGCUCUAGGUCAAGCCUCUUAUUCUAUUUAUUCUAUUGGGUCUACCCGUCGGGCAGGUAAGCGAGACAGAAGUCUCA
This 538-nucleotide long non-coding RNA is filed under the name Nicotiana benthamiana. RNAcentral's name for it is "long non-coding RNA (NBEN_LNC015324)". Lineage: Eukaryota; Viridiplantae; Streptophyta; Magnoliopsida; Solanales; Solanaceae. The record is from RNAcentral.